Molecule: ribosomal RNA, 435 nt
Filed under: uncultured bacterium
Lineage: Bacteria
Description: partial 16S ribosomal RNA
Rfam family: Bacterial small subunit ribosomal RNA
Source: RNAcentral
AGCGAACGCUGGCGGCAGGCUUAACACAUGCAAGUCGAACGGGCAUCUUCGGAUGUCAGCGGCAGACGGGUGAGUAACACGUGGGAACGUACCCUUCGGUUCGGAACAACUCUGGGAAACUGGAGCUAAUACCGGAUACGCCCUUAUGGGGAAAGGUUUACUGCCGAAGGAUCGGCCCGAGUCUGAUUAGCUUGUUGGUUGGGUAACGGCCUACCAAUGCGACGAUCAGUAGAUGGUCUGAGAGGAUGAUCAGCCACACUGGGACUGAGACACGGCCCAGAAUACUACGGGAGGGAGGAGUGGGGAAUAAAGGAAAAUGGGGGGAAGGCUGAACCAGCCAUGCCGCGAGAGUGAUGAAGGGAUUAGGGUUGUAAAGCAAUUUUGUACGGGAAGAUAAUGACGGUAACGGAAGAAUAAGCCCCGGCUAACUUCGUG